GAGACCUCGUCUUUAUAAAAAUUAAUAAUAGUUUCUUCAGAAAGCUUAUAGAAAACCAUAUUCAGGAAGUUGUUUUUUUUUUUUAUUGUAGCAAUCCAGGUAAGAGACACAGAAAACUGUAAAUGAUGCAAAAACAGCUGAACUGAAUAUGAGAGAUGUUCAAGAGGUAUGUGAUGGGAUGAUAUUUUGAAAUUUGGAUUUCUGCUGCUUUCCUGGCAUUUAUUGUUCCUUUCAACAAAUGUAUUCUACUCACUUGGCCCUCAGGUUUGGGUUAUUACCAUAGUAAUGAAAGGGUCAGUUCUCUACUUUUGAAUUUCCCACCUCAAAUGAGAUUUUUUUUUUUUAAGUGACACCUCCCAUGUAGCAAGGAGGGAGAGUGGAAGGAAAUGAGAGGGUGGCACAUAUCACUAUGGAGGGGCCCUGAGCACAACCUCCUCUCCCUGGUUGCCCGGUACAUCAGCCUUAGAUGGUAGCAGGGAGGGUAAAAAAGUGAACCUUCAGACAGGAUAGGAGAUUGAAGAGCAGAGGACGCCCAUGCUUCAAGUUCCAGGUGUGACCUACAGAAGAGUAUCUUUGGGCCAGGGUGAUGCAGCAGCCACUGAGUGGAAAUGACAACAUGGUGUUUUUAAGCUAAGAGGGGCCCCACCCAUUUCUUGGGGCUCCAGUGUGGCAUAGGAAGGCAUCUGAAAUGUUUCCGUGUCCCAUUGCUCUAGCAGGUAUGACAAAAGAGCUACUGUGUUAGAUAUGAGGACACACGUUCACCUGGGUGGAUAUGGGACCAAAGACAAGAUGGACAUCUCAGUGGAUGCUGGUAGAGAAAGGAGCCAGUGACCAGGGCCAGAGGGAGCCCACUGUCUGAGCAAAUGCCAGCAUAAAUCAGUUAUGACCUGAGAAGAUGUUCCCACUACCAAUAGACAUUGCAGGAUGUGAUACCACUCUGGAGGACUUUGAAGCUUCUGGAUUUGGUUGAAGAAAGAUGCUUUGGACAUUUUGAAUUUGAGUUGCUUCUCCAGAAGUCUUAUGUAUCUGAAGCAUGGGAGAGAGUAUAAGCUGGGGAAAUAAGUUUGGGGAUUACCAGAAAAGCAGUGGGUAAGGCCAUGAGCAAAUGAAAUCAAAUAGAGGAUGAAGAGAACAGGAGCCCUAGCAAACCCUGACAGUUAAAGAGUAUGCAGGGAAAAGGACUUGGAAAGGACCCUGUAAAGAAAGAUCCAACAUGACCUGAAGAAGAACUGAGAGCCUUUCUGUAAUUUAGAGUGACACAAAUAGUAUCUGGAAGCAGGACCUGAAGUAGGAUCAGUUUUGGACAGAUAUGGCAAUUCUCGAUACCAGUGUGCAGCACUUACAGGAGCCCUUUGAGCUCUCCACUUUCGCAACUCACCUCUUCUGCCCUGGUGCUGGGAUCUAUUUUUGUUAUCAUCAGCCAGGAAGAUACAAGGCCUCUUCCAAGAUGAAGACGAAACUAUUGACAGAUAUUUUGUCAAGACCAAAUUUUCCCUAAGAGCCCUGUCACAGAUUGCUCCCUGGGCAGGAUGCGGCCUCCUUCAGAGAGUGAAGAACACACCAAAAGAUCCUAUACUAAAUUAAUCAUGAAGCUGCAUGAACCAGGCUGGAAUACAGUUACCAAUCUGCUUUAAGUCUCCCACUUAGAUGGCCCGAAGCCACCUGAACUGAAAGUUGGAUGAAGCUCUGCUUUGAGUUCCAUCGUGGAGCAUCGUGUGGCCUAGGUCCUUAGCCAAUGCCUGCUAAAUAUUAGCUUGAGUCGCAAUAAAGAGAAAAGGUCCAAACUCUCCCCUUGGCUAAUGAUUUAUUCAUCAAACCAACAUGUCUCAAACCUGUAAUUCUAGUUUUGUUUUCUGAAAAGGUGUUUUUCUAUUUGAAAGAGAAAUAGCUGUAGGGAAGGAGAAUAAGAACUUUCAUGGCACACCCAGUAUGUGUUGCGCACUUGGCAUGUAAACUCACUUAGCCCUCACUCCAGCCCUGGGGAGGUGAGCAGUGGCUCUGCUUCACAGACGAGCACCCUGACACUCCAGGAAAUCGGUCAUCACCCAACACCCUUUAACUAGUGAAGGACGGAAUCUGAUUUGAACUCAGGUGUGCUUUUUUUCUCCAGGAAGCAUACUUUCCUUUGCCAGCCUCAGCGAUGAGAGUAACAGAGACAGAAAGAUAAGAGAAAAGGAGUUGACUGCUCACUUACGAGGCUGUUGCUGGACUUUUUAGAGCCUAGGAUGCCUUUGAGAAAACCGACAAACCUGAAAACGUGAUGAAGAUAACAUCUCUCAACUUCCCCCUGGAUUCAGCCCCACUACUCUGCCAAAAUUGCUCUCACCAAGUUACCCAGUGACCUCCAAGUUGUCCACUCCAGGAACACUCCUGAGUCCUCAUCUUCCUGGAAUGCUCCUCAUGACCAUCAGGGAAUCUUCUGCUGCCUGUGAAAGGAAGCCCAACUCCAACUGCUGCAAGCAGAACUAGAUGGAGUCUCGCCAUGUUGCCCAGGCUGGUCUCGAACUCCUGGACUCAGGUGAUCUACCUCAAGCCUCUGGAAGUGCUGGGAUCACAGGUGAGAACCAUUGGUGAUUGUUUAGGAUCCAGUUCCACAGAAAGUCAGUCAGAAAAUAGAAAUUCCACAUUCUUCAAUUGCACCCAGUUCUACAAAGAGCAGACAUGAAGGUAGGGAUACUUCUCUGUUUUUAUUGUUGACUUAAAGUGCUCCCUAUUGAAUAACAUUCAUUUUGUGACAUGUGAAUGAAGCAAUUCCCAUUUCUCUUAUAUAAGGACAUGUAGAUGAUUACUGAUGCUUUUUCAGAUCUGUCCAGGAGCAUCUAUUUUAGCCUCAGAGGUUUUUGCUUCUAAAUUACUCAGAUCUUUGUAGUCCUUUGUGAAUAAUUUUGGCAUCACAUCUUCAGGAGAACAAUAAUAGCCGACACUUAUAUAAUGUGCCAGGCACUCUUCUAUGCACUUUAAAUAUACUCACUUAACCCAUACAGCAACCAUGAGGCAGAUCUCAUUACUGCCUUCAAUUUACAGAUGAAUGAGAAGCAGAGAAGUGACUUGCCCAGCCUCACACAGCUAGUAGGCAGCACCAGAACCCUUGCUCUUAACCACUGUGCUAUUUUGAAGCAGCUUUUUUCAAAUUAACUUUAAAAAAUGCACACCCACUUCUUAAAGGAGAACAUUUAAAAUGUUAAUACCUAGAGCAGGAGACUUUACAAAACACACACACACACAAAGCCAAUUAAAGGGAGCAGAGAACUGUGUAACCCAGAAGUCUGAGAGGAGUUGGCUUUUCCAUUGGAGCACUAAAUUUAGCUCAUAAUUCUUGCCAGCUAAUAAAAAAAAAGUGAAGCAUGUUAGAUUAUAUGGUUCUCAUUGUUUUGUAGAGUAAGAACACUAAUUAUUUUGUGGAGAAAAAACUUUUUGGCAACUGAAUUCUAGAAGUAAUUGCUAGAAUUUUAAUAAAAAGCCCGGUGUUAGACGUUUUAAAAAACUUUUUAUAUUGUGAAAUGUCAUACUUUAGAAAAAUGUGUAAACAUCAAUGUACAGGUUACUGGAUUAUUGUAAAUUAAACCUUACAACCGGCCAGGCGCAGUGGUUCACGCCUGUAAUCCUAGCUCUUUGGAGGCCGAGGUGGGUGGAUCACGAGGUCAGGUGUUCGAGACCAGCC
This is a non-coding RNA of Chlorocebus sabaeus (green monkey), 3661 nucleotides long. The record is from RefSeq and is a predicted model, not a curated record. NCBI's taxonomy places the organism in Eukaryota, Metazoa, Chordata, Mammalia, Primates, Cercopithecidae.